This 460-nucleotide ribosomal RNA is filed under the name uncultured bacterium. RNAcentral's name for it is "partial 16S ribosomal RNA". It matches the Rfam family "Bacterial small subunit ribosomal RNA", at positions 338 to 795 of the family's 1533-position model. The record is from RNAcentral.
CCUACGGGUGGCAGCAGUGAGGAAUAUUGGUCAAUGGGCGCAAGCCUGAACCAGCCAAGACGCGUGAGGGAUGACGGUCCUAUGGAUUGUAAACCUCUUUUGUCGGGGAGCAAGGCCCGCCACGUGUGGCGGGAAGGAGAGUACCCGAAGAAAAAGCAUCGGCUAACUCCGUGCCAGCAGCCGCGGUAGUACGGAGGAUGCGAGCGUUAUCCGGAUUUAUUGGGUUUAAAGGGCGCGUAGGCGGAAGGUUAAGUCAGCGGUAAAAUGUCGGUGCUCAACACCGGCCUGCCGUUGAAACUGGUCUUCUUGAGUGAGCGAGAGGUAUGCAGAAUGCGUGGUGUAGCGGUGAAAUGCAUAGAUAUCACGCAGAACACCGAUGGCGAAGGCAGCAUACCGGCGCUCAACUGACGCUGAGGCACGAAAGCGUGGGGAUCGAACAGGAUUAGAUACCCGGGUAGUC